AAGAAAGGGGGUGCGGGGGCAAAACCAAGGCCUUAAUAUAGCACCAUCAAGGCUGGGUGGGCCCAAGCAAUGGGCUGGUGACCCACCAGUGCAGUGUCCCUAGCAAGUCUGGCCUCUCUGUCCCAGCUUGGCGGGGUGGGGUGAAAGUAACCGGAAAACAGAGAUCACUAGGAGAAACCAGACCUGGAAGUCCGGGGGCCACGUUGAGGCGCCUGAUCAAGAUAAAGACCGAGGGGAAGGCCGGGUGGCUGGGCUCCACCCUCCCUGAGGUGAGGAGUCCCCAGGCCUCCUUGACACGGGAGCCCCAUGUGCUGUGGUGCCCAAACCCACGGUGAGGCCGCAGUUGGCCCGGGAGAGGGUCGCAAGUGCUGGAGAGAGCAGGCCGUCGGUGAGGUGUCUUCUCCCGGACGGGGUUCUGGGGGCGGACGCGGGGUCCGCCGGGAGGUGGCCCCCAUCCGCCACCGUCAGACAGCGAGCACACAACUGUACCCCUCGAGCAAUGUCCCUGGGACGCUUCCCUGUGCCCGUGACCCCGGAGCUGCUGGGCUGUCCUGUUCGGAAGUCCGGGUGCCGGUGGAGGGAGGCGACAGGGCCCCGCCCCGAGGGCUGACCCGCCUGAGGCCUGCCCAGUUGCAAGGGAAGAAUGGGACAGGUGGGAGGAGCCCCUGCGUUUGGUUUCUGUGGACUCGUGGGCAGUGGCCAGCAGCCCGGCCCUGUGUCCAGAGAGACAGGGGACGGAGAUGUGCCUGCUGCUGGCCCCGUGGGAGCUGGAGUAGGACCCGUCAAUGCCCAUCGGAAGGAUGCCUUCCAGGCUUGGAAGGAGACGAAGCCACAGGCAGGUGUCCCUGAGUGCUCCGGGGGCAGAGUGGACGGAGCAGGGGCAGGGCUGCUGUGCAGAGCGGGCCGGGUUUAGACACACCAGGUGCCGGGAACAGCCUCAGUGGCCCGGCAGCCCGGUCCUCAUGGGGACAGCGGUGCUCGGAGGGCAGGCGUUCCCCAUCCUGGCCAGAAGGAGGGCUCGGGUCCCUUCCAAAGGGCACAAACAGAACGUUAGUAGCUGAGGCUAGGGGACUGAAACGACUAUGUAAUGAGGGCCGUGCAGCAGGAGAUGACGCUGCCUCCCAGCGCAGUGCCACGGGAGCCACAGGAGCCACGGGAGCCACGGGAGAGGCGGGACAGCAGCCGGACCAAGCGUAGUCGCUGGCUUUGGACUUUUAUGAUCAUUUUGCUGUAAAGGAUGCGGCCAAAGGCCAAGGAGUGGCCGGUGAUGUCAUUAAAAAAUGAAUAUUGGG
Neofelis nebulosa (Clouded leopard) is the source of this 1292-nucleotide long non-coding RNA. RefSeq lists it as uncharacterized. The transcript has 2 exons. NCBI's taxonomy places the organism in Eukaryota, Metazoa, Chordata, Mammalia, Carnivora, Felidae. The record is from RefSeq and is a predicted model, not a curated record.